RNAcentral lists this ribosomal RNA (913 nucleotides) under uncultured marine archaeon. Its description in RNAcentral is "bacterial SSU rRNA". It matches the Rfam family "Archaeal small subunit ribosomal RNA", at positions 1 to 922 of the family's 1478-position model. The record is from RNAcentral.
UCCGGUUGAUCCUGCCGGACCUGACUGCUAUCGGAUUGAUACUAAGCCAUGCGAGUCUUUGCAGUAAUGCAAGGCGGACUGCUCAGUAACACGUAGUCAACUUAACCUAUGGAUGGGUAUAACCUCGGGAAACUGAGAAUAAUUCCCAAUAGAUCAUUUAUCCUGGAAUGGUUGAUGAUUGAAAUGAUUCGUCGCCAUAGGAUGGGACUGCGGCCUAUCAGCUUGUUGGUGAGGUAAAGGCCCACCAAGGCUAUUACAGGUACGGGCUCUGAGAGGAGAAGCCCGGAGAUGGGUACUGAGACACGGACCCAGGCCCUAUGGGGCGCAGCAGGCGAGAAAACUUUGCAAUGUGCGAAAGCACGACAAGGUUAAUCCGAGUGAUUUCUGCUAAAGAAAUCUUUUGCCAGUUCUAAAAAUACUGGUGAAUAAGGGGUGGGCAAGUUCUGGUGUCAGCCGCCGCGGUAAAACCAGCACCUCAAGUUGUCAGGAGGAUUAUUGGGCCUAAAGCAUCCGUAGCCGGCUCUGUUAGUUUUCGGUUAAAUCCAUAUGCUCAACAUAUGGGCUGUCGGAAAUACUGCAGAGCUAGGGAAUGGGAGAGGUAGACGGUACUCGGUAGGAAGGGGUAAAAUCCUUUGAUCUAUCGAUGACCACCUGUGGCGAAGGCGGUCUACCAGAACAUGUUCGACGGUGAGGGAUGAAAGCUGGGGGAGCAAACCGGAUUAGAUACCCGGGUAGUCCCAGCUGUAAACGAUGCAGACUAGAUGAUGCAUUAGCAUAUAGCUAGUGCAGUGUCUCAGGGAAGCCGUUAAGUCUGCCGCCUGGGAAGUACGUACGCAAGUAUGAAACUUAAAGGAAUUGGCGGGGGAGCACCACAAGGGGUGAAGCCUGCGGUUCAAUUGGAUUCAACGCCGGA